CACUGGCAUAGGCACAAGAAAAUAUAAUCACUCUGGGGAUACCUCUGCUCCUGGCUACGUGUUGGGUUUGAGAUCCUCCUGGGUGAGAAACACCAGGAAACAGCGGAACUGGUAAGGGCUACAGAUUAUAUUUUAAGGAUUAUGCUGGUUGUGGACUUUAUUGUCAGUAAGCUAAUUAGGUCCUCAGAAUUGAUACCUUGUGGCUCAAGUUUUUUUAAAUUAAAUUAAGAAAAGAAAUGGCCCAAUCACUAUCUCAGUUUUCUUCUCCUAUAUGAGCAUAAUGCGGAGGACACAAUGCAGACAAAGAAAUUAUAACCUCUGCAGCGCUGGCUCAUGGUUCUGGCAUGGAGUCGUUUUCAGUUCGCGGAAUUCUCUUGACUCUUGGCAGGCCUUUGAUUUAGAGUAUGUCUAGUCAGCUUUUUUCUGUACGUUCUCAUUUACAUACCAGGAUAUUUCUGCAUGAUGAUGACUUUUUCCUGCCUAAACAUUAGUCUGUCACUGAUAGAAUUCCUAUCAUGUAUUCCUCAAGGCUAGUAUAGAAAGUUAAUCCAUUCCACUCAAGAACAGUAAGAUCUGGUGAGUUCCAAGAAGGAGAAAGCACUUGGCCUAGUACAGAAGGCGCAGUGUUGAAACUCCAUUUUACAGAAGCUGACUGUCCUGGUUAAUGGAAAGCUAGACUUUGCUUUAUCGGUGAUUUCUUGAUUGGCUGUGGUUUUACUGCUUAACAGAACUUCCACCAAAACAUUCUGUUAUGGGAAUCAUAUGAGAGGAGAGACUCAGUCAGAGGUUGUGAUUUGGUAGAACCGCCAGUGAAAUUUUGGUUCAGGACCUCAAAACCACGGCAAAACUGAGAUCUGUUUUCUGAAAGACGUUAAGGUCUUGGCCUAACAUGAGCUCCCUCAGGCUAUAAAACAGUGGUAGGAAGGGCGGCUUCCUUACCCCAAGAGAGAGUCCAUUCUUUGCAUUUGCCAUAUACCCAACAUAAAACCAGAUUGUGGUCUUUGAAGCUGUCCCUGAAGUGACAGUGGAGAGAACCGGGCAGCCCAGAAGCCCCAGACAUGGAGAUUGAUCCUGCAAGAGAAGGGAGUUCAUCAUGGCGGAUGACCUAAAGCGAUUCAUGUAUAAAAUGUUGCCAAGUGUUGAAGGGCUCCAUGCUAUUGUUGUGUCAGAGUUGGAGUACCUAUUUUGAAGUGGCCAAUGAUAAUGCUCCAGAGCGUGUUUUGAGACCUGGUUUCUCAUCUAGUUUUGCCCUUGCAACAGACCAAAGGAGCAAACUUGGACUUUCAAAAAAUAAAAGUAUCAUCUGUUACUGUUACACCUACCAGGUGAUUCAAUUAAAUCAUUACCUUUGGUAGUGAGUUUCAUAGCCAGCAGCAAUGCCAAUACAGGACUAAUUGUCAGCCUAGAAAAGAAACGUACUCCAUUCUUUGAAGAAUUGAGACAAGUUGUGGAAGUUUCUUAAUCGGACAAUGGUUUCAAUGUGUACCUUAUCUUUAUUUUAACAACACAAUAUCGAUCCAGCAAUCUUUAGACCGCAGUACUUUUAUCCAUGUGCUCAAGAAAAGGCCCCUUUUUCCAACUUAUACUGAAGAGCAAGCAUAUAGAUAAAAUUUAUGGACAGAUCAAUUAUUGUAUUU
This is an RNA transcript of Cercocebus atys (sooty mangabey), 1637 nucleotides long. It is a transcript of the gene named ragulator complex protein LAMTOR3 pseudogene, with no coding region annotated. The transcript is spliced from 2 exons. The record is from RefSeq and is a predicted model, not a curated record. NCBI's taxonomy places the organism in Eukaryota, Metazoa, Chordata, Mammalia, Primates, Cercopithecidae.